This is a long non-coding RNA of Megalobrama amblycephala (Wuchang bream), 382 nucleotides long. RefSeq lists it as uncharacterized. The record is from RefSeq and is a predicted model, not a curated record. The transcript has 3 exons. NCBI's taxonomy places the organism in Eukaryota, Metazoa, Chordata, Actinopteri, Cypriniformes, Xenocyprididae.
GGGGGCGUGAUUUACAAGCUGAGUCCAUCCCAUUUUGCCGAUUAACCCUUGCCUGGCUUGAACGCUUAUGAAUUUAGUACUUUAGUUGCUAUUCAUUUGUAUCACAUCGAACAAUGGAAAACUCAAAUGCAGGGUCUGCAGUCACGUGUGUUUGUUCAUCAGUGUUCAGCUGUCUGUCUGCUGUCUGGAGGAUGAUGACUUCUGUUUGUUCCUCUGAGGAAAUGGAUCUUCAGUCUCUGGAUGUUCCUCUCUCUGUAGAGGAGACCCGACCAGAACCGACCCAGAGUUCAGUGCGGCCAUGUUCAUUCACAGAGGAUGAGUGUGAGCGAUGAUGAUGAAGAGCAGCGGGUUUAAAAGUCGAGACACAGAAGAAUGAACUAGG